GAUGAACGCUGGCGGCGUGCUUAACACAUGCAAGUCGAACGGAAAGGCCUCUGCUUGCAGGGGUACUCGAGUGGCGAACGGGUGAGUAACACGUGGGUGAUCUGCCCUGCACUUCGGGAUAAGCCUGGGAAACUGGGUCUAAUACCGGAUAGGACAAUGGUUUGGAUGCUGUUGUGGAAAGUUUUUCGGUGUGGGAUGAGCUCGCGGCCUAUCAGCUUGUUGGUGGGGUAAUGGCCUACGAAGGCGUCGACGGGGAGCCGGCCUGAGAGGGUGUACGGCCACAUUGGGACUGAGAUACGGCCCAGACUCCUGCGGGCGGCAGCAGUGGGGAAUAUUGCACAAUGGGAGAAAGCCUGAUGGAGCGAGGCCGGGUGGGGGAUGACGGCCUUCGGGUUGUAAUCUCCUUUCGCUAGGGACGAAGCGUUUUUGUGACGGUACCUGAAGAAGAAGCACCGGCUAACUACGUG
This 467-nucleotide ribosomal RNA is filed under the name uncultured bacterium. RNAcentral's name for it is "partial 16S ribosomal RNA". It matches the Rfam family "Bacterial small subunit ribosomal RNA", at positions 28 to 507 of the family's 1533-position model. The record is from RNAcentral.